Non-coding RNA from Jatropha curcas, 1775 nucleotides. The record is from RefSeq and is a predicted model, not a curated record. Lineage: Eukaryota; Viridiplantae; Streptophyta; Magnoliopsida; Malpighiales; Euphorbiaceae.
GCCAACUAAAACGGCAAAUAACGGGCAUUCGGUAACCGCGUAAACUCAAAAUGGCGCUACAAAUCUACUCUCCAUCCUGUCUCACCAAAAAAUCCUAUCAGCAUCUUCUCUACGCUCCUGUCCUCCUCUCCAAAACCAAACCCAAACUCAGAAUUCAAUCCCAAAAUCCCACUACCGACACCGAAAACACCAAGGACUCAGCCACACUCAAGAAAUCAACCGCGCGUGGGCUAGGGUUUGGGUCAUCAUCUCCUGCAGCUUCAACCAAAAACCCAAAUAAGGCAAGUGCUAGUGAUGUGACUAGUAAGAAGAAACAGAAGGGUAAAAGAGAAAGGGCAUCGAUAAUUAGGCGGACACCGGUUGAGAAGCCAUCAUUUGUAAGCCAAGUGGAUGAGACUAAAGCGAAGGAGCAGAGUAAGAAUGAGAGUGCCUUUCUUCUUGCUUGGUUGGGGCUUGGUGGGAUCAUUCUUGUAGAGGGUAUUGUGCUCGCUGCAUCAGGCUUCCUACCUGAAGAAUGGGAUAAAUUUUUUGUGAAGUAUUUGUAUCCAUCUUUCACCCCUACAGUCUUCUUGUUUGUUGCUGGGACUGUUGCAUAUGGGGUGUUGAAGUAUCUGCAGAAUGAGAAACUUAAAGACCAAAAUUGAUGUGGCAACGCGUGGGCAGAGACAAUUGUGGAUUGGGUGGAUAUAGCAGUGUUGGCAGUUAACAAGUUUGCUAUAGUUUCUGAACGCCAUAAUACUCUUGCUUUUAUACCAUUCAUCUCCACAAGUACUUAAGUUCAGAUUUAGUUAAUUCCUUGGUUGAAGUUUUACCAUUAAUAACGAAAGGCUGAUAUGUUUUAAGUCCAUCUUGCAAUUAAAACAUCAUCUGUUUGCAGACUGAGAAGUUGUGAAAGGUUAAUUUGAUCCUCUACUGAAGCUGAUCUCAUGGAACCUUAAUACUUUUGUGGCAGUGGUGCCGUACAUUGAAACAUUAAAUGAAGCGGUUCAUUCUUCUUCAUAUUGACUGCAAAUUACUAGGGUCAGAUUUCAAGAAAAGUAAUCAUUUAAUAGAUAAUGUCUAGACGGUUGUUUAGUUAUUGCUAUUUCUCACUUCAGUAUUAAUGUAUUAUUUCUUGAAAACAAUGGAGAUGUCUUUCCAUAAAUGGUUAUGUUGCAAUACUAGCUAUUGUAACAAAUAAUCUUGUCCUCAAGAAUUCUAGGAACUUUUGGCGUCAAUUUCCACAUUAAAUCAAACAUUCAUGAGUGCACAUGCAAACAAAAAAAAAGUUGUAGUAAAAAAAUUCACUUUACGAGUACACUUGAGGUAUUUGCCAUUGGGUGUCAACGUUGCGCUUCCCAAUUUGUCCUACAUGUAUAUCUCUUACCUUUUUGAUGUUCAUUAUAUUGAGUCAAGAGUCAAUAACAGGUGAGAAGAUAAAUGAAGAAAGUGUGAAAUGAUAGCUUUGUUCAUUAGCAAUAAUAACUGAGAGUAUACCAGUUUGACAGAAUCCAGGGAAGAUAAAAGCGGAAUUGUAGGCUCCAAAAGGGUGAUGAGAGUUUAUUCGGUUUGAUUUUGCAUAUCUAACGUACCCUGCUAGGUAGUGUUAAGCAUGAAGGCCUUCAUUGAUAUGCACGAUUGUAAGCAUAGGCAUUUGACAUGUACCAUGCAUAGUCACCUCUAAUAUGACAGGAUGAAACUGUUGUUUUCACAUUCUAGUACUAUAUUAUUGUACUGAGUUCAGUUUGUUACAUUGUCUAUCCUCAAAACUCUUAUUAUCGGUUUGGCCACUUUAA